GCUGGCGGCAGGCUUCCACAUGCAAGGAAAGCGCCCCGCAAGGGGAGCGGCAGACGGGAGAGUAACACGUGUUUACGUACCCUUCGGUGCAGAACAACCCAGGGAAACUUGGGCUAAUACCGGAUACGUCCGAAAGGAGAAAGAUUUAUCGCCGAGGGAUCGGCCCGCGUCUGAUUAGCUAGUUGGUGGGGUAACGGCCCACCAAGGCGACGAUCAGUAGCUGGUCUGAGAGGAUGAUCAGCCUCACUGGGACUGAGACACGGCCCAGACUCCUACGGGAGGCAGCAGUGGG
RNAcentral lists this ribosomal RNA (292 nucleotides) under uncultured Alphaproteobacteria bacterium. RNAcentral describes it as "partial 16S ribosomal RNA". It matches the Rfam family "Bacterial small subunit ribosomal RNA", at positions 35 to 358 of the family's 1533-position model. Lineage: Bacteria; Pseudomonadati; Pseudomonadota; Alphaproteobacteria. The record is from RNAcentral.